CUCUUGGCCUGACCUCCUCACAUCCUCAAGUUACUUUCCUUGAGGGAAAGGUAGCCAAAAACACUGUGAAACUAUCCUGCCUUAAAAAGGCUGUCUCAGGCUGAAGGUGACUUCUCAGUCCCCCAAACUCCAUUGGCCAUCAAGACCAACACUUCGGCAUAUGACACAAAUGACCCAUUGAAACAUCACUGUAACUAUAUGAGCUCGGAAAACUGGGUGUCUGUCCAAGAUUCAUGAAAGCAAAGGUUCUCAAUCCUUAACCAAUUACUUUUCCUAUCAUUACCAUCAACACCCAACCCUUAACCAGUUCUGGGCUGAAUAUUCACAAGGAAUCUACGAUCUAGAAUAGCCUUCAUAAGACCACACCAAUCAUGUCAAGUCACUGUGUAUAAAAAAUAUGUAUAAGAAAGAGAGCGGUUAAAAAAUCUAUAGAUAUUUAUGAGUCUCUCUGAUGUGCUGGUGGCUGUGAAAUGCAAGAACAUGAAAGAUUCAGCUGCCUGGACCUGGGAAGGAACUUACAAUAUCCCGCUGAGAAAAUCAGACACGUGACCAGCUGCUGCCUAGAGAAACUGUGAGGUGGCGUAGAAAUCAUUCAGUAUAAUGUGCAGGUCCUUCCUAGAGAUUUAAGACCACUACUGAACAACAACAACAACAACAACAAUGAUGACAACAACAACAACAAAACACUCUGUCAGAGAGGGGUAAAAGCUUGCUUCGUUGCCAUACAAGAUAUCCUAUAUCUAAUAUCGUCAAAUCCUAAUUGAA
Long non-coding RNA from Neofelis nebulosa (Clouded leopard), 765 nucleotides. RefSeq lists it as uncharacterized. Lineage: Eukaryota; Metazoa; Chordata; Mammalia; Carnivora; Felidae. The record is from RefSeq and is a predicted model, not a curated record. The transcript is spliced from 5 exons.